GGGUUGUGAGGUUAAGCGAAUAAGCGUACACGGUGGAUGCCCUGGCAGUCAGAGGCGAUGAAGGACGUGCUAAUCUGCGAUAAGCGUCGGUAAGGUGAUAUGAACCGUUAUAACCGGCGAUUUCCGAAUGGGGAAACCCAGUGUGAUUCGUCACACUAUCAUUAACUGAAUCCAUAGGUUAAUGAGGCGAACCGGGGGAACUGAAACAUCUAAGUACCCCGAGGAAAAGAAAUCAACCGAGAUUCCCCCAGUAGCGGCGAGCGAACGGGGAGGAGCCCAGAGCCUGAAUCAGUGUGUGUGUUAGUGGAAGCGUCUGGAAAGGCGCGCGAUACAGGGUGACAGCCCCGUACACAAAAAUGCACAUGCUGUGAGCUCGAUGAGUAGGGCGGGACACGUGGUAUCCUGUCUGAAUAUGGGGGGACCAUCCUCCAAGGCUAAAUACUCCUGACUGACCGAUAGUGAACCAGUACCGUGAGGGAAAGGCGAAAAGAACCCCGGCGAGGGGAGUGAAAAAGAACCUGAAACCGUGUACGUACAAGCAGUGGGAGCACAGAGCAAUCUGUGUGACUGCGUACCUUUUGUAUAAUGGGUCAGCGACUUAUAUUCUGUAGCAAGGUUAACCGAAUAGGGGAGCCGAAGGGAAACCGAGUCUUAACUGGGCGUUAAGUUGCAGGGUAUAGACCCGAAACCCGGUGAUCUAGCCAUGGGCAGGUUGAAGGUUGGGUAACACUAACUGGAGGACCGAACCGACUAAUGUUGAAAAAUUAGCGGAUGACUUGUGGCUGGGGGUGAAAGGCCAAUCAAACCGGGAGAUAGCUGGUUCUCCCCGAAAGCUAUUUAGGUAGCGCCUCGUGAAUUCAUCUCCGGGGGUAGAGCACUGUUUCGGCAAGGGGGUCAUCCCGACUUACCAACCCGAUGCAAACUGCGAAUACCGGAGAAUGUUAUCACGGGAGACACACGGCGGGUGCUAACGUCCGUCGUGAAGAGGGAAACAACCCAGACCGCCAGCUAAGGUCCCAAAGUCAUGGUUAAGUGGGAAACGAUGUGGGAAGGCCCAGACAGCCAGGAUGUUGGCUUAGAAGCAGCCAUCAUUUAAAGAAAGCGUAAUAGCUCACUGGUCGAGUCGGCCUGCGCGGAAGAUGUAACGGGGCUAAACCAUGCACCGAAGCUGCGGCAGCGACGCUGAUGCGUUGUUGGGUAGGGGAGCGUUCUGUAAGCCUGUGAAGGUGUGCUGUGAGGCAUGCUGGAGGUAUCAGAAGUGCGAAUGCUGACAUAAGUAACGAUAAAGCGGGUGAAAAGCCCGCUCGCCGGAAGACCAAGGGUUCCUGUCCAACGUUAAUCGGGGCAGGGUGAGUCGACCCCUAAGGCGAGGCCGAAAGGCGUAGUCGAUGGGAAACAGGUUAAUAUUCCUGUACUUGGUGUUACUGCGAAGGGGGGACGGAGAAGGCUAUGUUGGCCGGGCGACGGUUGUCCCGGUUUAAGCGUGUAGGCUGGUUUUCCAGGCAAAUCCGGAAAACUAAGGCUGAGGCGUGAUGACGAGGCACUACGGUGCUGAAGCAACAAAUGCCCUGCUUCCAGGAAAAGCCUCUAAGCAUCAGGUAACAUCAAAUCGUACCCCAAACCGACACAGGUGGUCAGGUAGAGAAUACCAAGGCGCUUGAGAGAACUCGGGUGAAGGAACUAGGCAAAAUGGUGCCGUAACUUCGGGAGAAGGCACGCUGAUAUGUAGGUGAAGUCCCUCGCGGAUGGAGCUGAAAUCAGUCGAAGAUACCAGCUGGCUGCAACUGUUUAUUAAAAACACAGCACUGUGCAAACACGAAAGUGGACGUAUACGGUGUGACGCCUGCCCGGUGCCGGAAGGUUAAUUGAUGGGGUCAGCGCAAGCGAAGCUCUUGAUCGAAGCCCCGGUAAACGGCGGCCGUAACUAUAACGGUCCUAAGGUAGCGAAAUUCCUUGUCGGGUAAGUUCCGACCUGCACGAAUGGCGUAAUGAUGGCCAGGCUGUCUCCACCCGAGACUCAGUGAAAUUGAACUCGCUGUGAAGAUGCAGUGUACCCGCGGCAAGACGGAAAGACCCCGUGAACCUUUACUAUAGCUUGACACUGAACAUUGAGCCUUGAUGUGUAGGAUAGGUGGGAGGCUUUGAAGUGUGGACGCCAGUCUGCAUGGAGCCGACCUUGAAAUACCACCCUUUAAUGUUUGAUGUUCUAACGUUGACCCGUAAUCCGGGUUGCGGACAGUGUCUGGUGGGUAGUUUGACUGGGGCGGUCUCCUCCUAAAGAGUAACGGAGGAGCACGAAGGUUGGCUAAUCCUGGUCGGACAUCAGGAGGUUAGUGCAAUGGCAUAAGCCAGCUUGACUGCGAGCGUGACGGCGCGAGCAGGUGCGAAAGCAGGUCAUAGUGAUCCGGUGGUUCUGAAUGGAAGGGCCAUCGCUCAACGGAUAAAAGGUACUCCGGGGAUAACAGGCUGAUACCGCCCAAGAGUUCAUAUCGACGGCGGUGUUUGGCACCUCGAUGUCGGCUCAUCACAUCCUGGGGCUGAAGUAGGUCCCAAGGGUAUGGCUGUUCGCCAUUUAAAGUGGUACGCGAGCUGGGUUUAGAACGUCGUGAGACAGUUCGGUCCCUAUCUGCCGUGGGCGCUGGAGAACUGAGGGGGCUGCUCCUAGUACGAGAGGACCGGAGUGGACGCAUCACUGGUGUUCGGGUUGUCAUGCCAAUGGCACUGCCCGGUAGCUAAAUGCGGAAGAGAUAAGUGCUGAAAGCAUCUAAGCACGAAACUUGCCCCGAGAUGAGUUCUCCCUGACUCCUUGAGAGUCCUGAAGGAACGUUGAAGACGACGACGUUGAUAGGCCGGGUGUGUAAGCGCAGCGAUGCGUUGAGCUAACCGGUACUAAUGAACCGUGAGGCUUAACCUUACAACGCCGAAGCUGUU
This 2931-nucleotide ribosomal RNA is filed under the name Escherichia coli O111 str. RM9322. Its description in RNAcentral is "bacterial LSU rRNA". It matches the Rfam family "Bacterial large subunit ribosomal RNA". Lineage: Bacteria; Pseudomonadati; Pseudomonadota; Gammaproteobacteria; Enterobacterales; Enterobacteriaceae. The record is from RNAcentral.